This is a long non-coding RNA of Anolis sagrei ordinatus, 259 nucleotides long. RefSeq lists it as uncharacterized. The record is from RefSeq and is a predicted model, not a curated record. Lineage: Eukaryota; Metazoa; Chordata; Lepidosauria; Squamata; Anolidae.
AGAGAUCUGAAGAUUGAAAAUUUCCUUCUAGAUGAAAACAACAGCAUCAAAAUUGUUGAUUUUGGACUGAGCAACAUCAUGAAGUUUGAGGGCCUGUCUCAGGAACUGUUAAACACGCAGUGUGGGAGUCCAGCCUAUGCAGCCCCAGAACUCCUGGCUCACAAGAAAUAUGGGCCAAAAGUGGAUGUCUGGUCUAUAGGAAUCAGCAUGUUCGCCAUGUUGACUGGCACAUUACCAUUCACUGUGGAGCCAUUUAAUA